RNAcentral lists this transfer RNA (67 nucleotides) under Coridius chinensis. Its description in RNAcentral is "tRNA-Leu". The record is from RNAcentral. Lineage: Eukaryota; Metazoa; Arthropoda; Insecta; Hemiptera; Dinidoridae.
ACUAUUUUGGCAGAAAUAUAUGCGGUAAAUUUAGAAUUUAUUUAUGUGAUUUUAAUUACAAAUGGUA